UACGGAGGGGGCGAGCGUUAUUCGGAAUUAUUGGGCGUAAAGGGCGCGUAGGCGGCUUGAUGUGUCAAAGGUGAAAUCCCUCGGCUCAACUGAGGAACUGCCUUUGAAACUGUCUGGCUUGAGGCCGGGAGAGGGUAGCGGAAUUCCCAGUGUAGCGGUGAAAUGCGUAGAUACUGGGAGGAACACCGGUGGCGAAGGCGGCUACCUGGACCGGUUCUGACGCUGAUGCGCGAAAGCGUGGGUAGCAAACGGG
This 253-nucleotide ribosomal RNA is filed under the name uncultured bacterium. RNAcentral describes it as "partial 16S ribosomal RNA". It matches the Rfam family "Bacterial small subunit ribosomal RNA", at positions 524 to 776 of the family's 1533-position model. The record is from RNAcentral.